GGUUCCAGCACCAGCGCCAUACAGCGCCAUCGCUAUCCUCUCGUGCCGAGCUGUUGCCGGCACGAUCUCUGCUGGAAUAAAAUCACUUCUUGAAUAUCACGCAACAUGAAGGUUGUCCUGCCUGCUUCCUUCAGUUCCUUGGCCAAUGUAUGAGGGUACAUUUGAUUUGGUGUGCUCUAUGGACGUCAACGUCAAAGUUCGUUGCAAGACGUGCAAGAAAACUUGUUCAUGCAGCAAGACAUCUACAGCAACUUGAAGAAGCACCUGGAAAGGAAGCAUCCUGGUCUGCACCGUGUUGCACAUCAGAAGCGAAAAGCUGCGGAUAGUGAAAGGCAACAGAACAGAAGGAAUUGGUGUAACUGGUAGCCACGUCGUCUUCAGUAUCUCAGAGACAAAUAGACCGGGCUAUUUUAAAUUUUGUUGUGGGGAGCAUGCAGUGCUUUUCCGUUGUGGAGAUCGAGCAGUUUAGACGCAUGAUUGAGGUACUCCAGCCUGCAAGAACAGUAAUCGGGCGAAAAGCUCUUGUUGCCCUGAUCAACAGUGCUUACGACAACAUGAAGCAAUCACUUGUUGAGAGGUUAGGGAAGGCAUCUGCCGUCUGCUGCCCAGCCAACUGCUGGACUGCUUCGAACAGGAGCUUCAUCCGUGCCACCGCACACUGGAUAGACGAAAGCUCGUUGGAGAGAAGAUCAGCGGUGAUAGCGUGCCGCAAAAUGUAAACUUCGAACACCAGCUGCUGCUCAAAUGUAAUAUAUAUAAAUAGCAUAACUUCAAUGUACGCAAUAAAGCCUGUUGAUCUCAUA
Molecule: long non-coding RNA, 803 nt
Organism: Ornithodoros turicata
Lineage: Eukaryota; Metazoa; Arthropoda; Arachnida; Ixodida; Argasidae
Exons: 3
Source: RefSeq, a predicted model, not a curated record